This 492-nucleotide ribosomal RNA is filed under the name uncultured bacterium. RNAcentral's name for it is "partial 16S ribosomal RNA". It matches the Rfam family "Bacterial small subunit ribosomal RNA", at positions 29 to 507 of the family's 1533-position model. The record is from RNAcentral.
AGUGAACGCUGGCGGUAGGCCUAACACAUGCAAGUCGAACGGCAGCACAGUAAGAGCUUGCUCUUACGGGUGGCGAGUGGCGGACGGGUGAGGAAUACAUCGGCAUCUACUUUUUCGUGGGGGAUAACGUAGGGAAACUUACGCUAAUACCGCAUACGACCUACGGGUGAAAUCAGGGGAUCUUCGGACCUUUCGCGAUUGAAUGAGCCGAUGUCGGAUUAGCUAGUUGGCGGGGUAAAGGCCCACCAAGGCGACGAUCCGUAGCUGGUCUGAGAGGAUGAUCAGCCACACUGGAACUGAGACACGGUCCAGACUCCUACGGGAGGCAGCAGUGGGGAAUAUUGGACAAUGGGCGCAAGCCUGACCCAGCCAUACCGCGUGAGUGAAGAAGGCCUUCGGGUUGUAAAGCCCUUUUGUUGGGAAAGAAAAGCAGCAGGUUAAUACCCCGCUGUUCUGACGGUACCCAAAGAAUAAGCACCGGCUAACUUCGUG